RNAcentral lists this non-coding RNA (23 nucleotides) under Arabidopsis thaliana (thale cress). The record is from RNAcentral. Lineage: Eukaryota; Viridiplantae; Streptophyta; Magnoliopsida; Brassicales; Brassicaceae.
CCAACCACGUCAAAAUCCUCCCU